UUCUCUCCAUAAAGAUUGAAGUUUGAUAGAGAUUACCUUAGAGGAGCCUUGAAAUUCCUUCUCUAGAAUACUCCAAGCUUCUUUUGAAUUGGUGGUAGCCAUAAUACGAGAAAGACAGUUUUAUUUACCCCUUGUUGAAUGAAGAGUAGUGCCCUUGCACCCUUCUUCUUAUUUUCUUUAAACUCCUUUUGCUUUGCCGCCGUCCAUGAUGCUAGUGUUUCCG
This 223-nucleotide long non-coding RNA is filed under the name Nicotiana benthamiana. Its description in RNAcentral is "long non-coding RNA (NBEN_LNC000680)". Lineage: Eukaryota; Viridiplantae; Streptophyta; Magnoliopsida; Solanales; Solanaceae. The record is from RNAcentral.